GCUCGAUAUCUUGAUUCCAGGAAUGAU
RNAcentral lists this small RNA (27 nucleotides) under Bombyx mori (domestic silkworm). RNAcentral describes it as "ovarian small RNA-5405". The record is from RNAcentral. Lineage: Eukaryota; Metazoa; Arthropoda; Insecta; Lepidoptera; Bombycidae.